GCGGGGGUGCCGGAGCCAGACGGGAUAGUUUUCCGAUCUAUUGGCUUAGUGCCUACGAGGGUUCAAACCCCUUCCCCCGCA
RNAcentral lists this transfer RNA (81 nucleotides) under Nanobdellota archaeon. Its description in RNAcentral is "tRNA-Gly". It matches the Rfam family "tRNA". From Rfam's summary of the family: Transfer RNA (tRNA) molecules are approximately 80 nucleotides in length. Their secondary structure includes four short double-helical elements and three loops (D, anti-codon, and T loops). The record is from RNAcentral. Lineage: Archaea; Nanobdellati; Nanobdellota.